GACGAACGCUGGCGGCGUGCUUAACACAUGCAAGUCGAACGGAACGCCCCUUCUGUUUUCCUUUGCUCCAGUGUCGAACGUGUGUGUAAGACGGGAGUGUGCUUAACUUGACUUUGGCCUACCUUCAGGAAGCUGAGGAUAAUACCGGACAGCUGCUCCUGCUGCAUAGUCGGGGUUGGACGGUUUCGGCAGUGGGGGAUGGUCUCGCGGCAUAUCAGCUUCUUGGUUUGGUAGGGGCUUACCAAGGCUUUGACGGGUAGCAGGCCUGAGAGGCGGACCGGCCACACUGGGACUGGGAUGCGGCACAGACUCCUACGGGACGCAGGAGUGGAGAAUAGUGCACAAUGGGAGGAAGGCUGAUGUAACGACGCCGCGUGGGGGAUGACGGCAUGCGGGUUGGAAACCGCUUCCGCCUGUGAAGAAGAGUGAGUGACGGUAAUGGGUAAAGAAGCACCGGCUAACUACGUG
RNAcentral lists this ribosomal RNA (468 nucleotides) under uncultured bacterium. Its description in RNAcentral is "partial 16S ribosomal RNA". It matches the Rfam family "Bacterial small subunit ribosomal RNA", at positions 28 to 507 of the family's 1533-position model. The record is from RNAcentral.